This 447-nucleotide ribosomal RNA is filed under the name uncultured bacterium. RNAcentral describes it as "bacterial SSU rRNA". It matches the Rfam family "Bacterial small subunit ribosomal RNA", at positions 355 to 825 of the family's 1533-position model. The record is from RNAcentral.
UCGGGAAUUUUGGGCAAUGGGCGAAAGCCUGACCCAGCAACGCCGCGUGAAGGAUGAAGUAUUUCGGUAUGUAAACUUCGAAAGAAUAGGAAGAAUAAAUGACGGUACUAUUUAUAAGGUCCGGCUAACUACGUGCCAGCAGCCGCGGUAAUACGUAGGGACCAAGCGUUGUUCGGAUUUACUGGGCGUAAAGGGCGCGUAGGCGGCAUGACAAGUCACUUGUGAAAUCUCUGGGCUUAACCCAGAACGGCCAAGUGAUACUGUCGCGCUAGAGUGCAGAAGGGGCAAUCGGAAUUCUUGGUGUAGCGGUGAAAUGCGUAGAUAUCAAGAGGAACACCUGAGGUGAAGACGGGUUGCUGGGCUGACACUGACGCUGAGGCGCGAAAGCAAGGGGAGCAAACAGGAUUAGAUACCCCCGUAGUCCCUGAGCGGGCUGGCAAGGCGCAU